Molecule: unclassified non-coding RNA, 246 nt
Filed under: uncultured fungus
Lineage: Eukaryota; Fungi
Also listed under: 2 other names
Description: partial contains 5.8S ribosomal RNA, internal transcribed spacer 2, and large subunit ribosomal RNA
Source: RNAcentral
AACGCACAUUGCGCCCGCUAGUAUUCUGGCGGGCAUGCCUGUUCGAGCGUCAUUUCAACCAUCAAGCCCCAGGCUUGCGUUGGGUCCCUGCGGCUGCCCGCAGGCCCUGAAAUACAGUGGCGGGCUCGCUAGUCACUCCGAGCGCAGUAAUACAUCUCGCUCAGGGCGUGCGGCGGGUGCCGGCCGUGAAACAACCCCCUUCUAAAGUUUGACCUCGGAUCAGGUAGGAAUACCCGCUGAACUUAA